RNA transcript from Dendrobium catenatum, 1360 nucleotides. It is a transcript of the gene named yrdC domain-containing protein, mitochondrial, with no coding region annotated. The record is from RefSeq and is a predicted model, not a curated record. Lineage: Eukaryota; Viridiplantae; Streptophyta; Magnoliopsida; Asparagales; Orchidaceae. The transcript has 7 exons.
CAAGAAUUUCUCUGCUCUUCCUUCAUAUUGCCGUAGGCUUGCUAGGGUUUGUUUAUCCUCUUUCUCCUGCUAUUCGAUGCUUCAACUUCGCUUCGCGUGAGUUUUGAACGAGUCGCUAGAAGAGUUCUUCCCCUCCUUCGUGUUCCUUCCUGCCGGAUCAGAAGUCACGACAGUUCUCCGUUCUUCCUAUUGGAUCGGAAGUAACGACGAAGACAGGAGCUUGCUCGUUGCGAAGGUGAGAGAUGAUGGUUAAUUGUACGGCAAUCUCAAAGAUGUCUGUUCUUUCAUUCACCAUCAGAAAGUAUUGCUGGAGGCCAUCCCAGCUUUCUAGUGUGGUCUCUUUAUGUCAGAAGAAGAGACCUAACGGUCCUUUUGGUUGGAGAAUGUCACAAGACCUUGAGAAAACUUGCAAGGAGACAAGAAGCAAAGGCAGUACGCUGCUCGUGGCAUCAGACAGGUACAUCGAGAAAUCAGUUAAAGCAAUCAAAGAUGGAAAGGUUAUAGCAGUGCCCACUGACACACUUUAUGGAUUUGCUUGUGAUGCAUGUUCUGCAGCAGCAAUUAACCAGAUAUAUGAAGUCAAAGGGCGUAAAUUGACAAGCCCUCUUGCAAUAUGUGUUGCUGAUGUUUCAGAUAUACCUCGGUUUGCUAUUGUCGAUGGUUUACCUUGCGGUUUGCUUGAUGGUCUUCUACCUGGACCUGUUACUAUUGUUCUGAGGAGAGAUGAUUCCAGCAUUCUAGAGAAGUCACUAAACCCAGGUUUAGAUAGCAUUGGUGUUCGAGUACCAGACAAUAAUUUCAUUCGUGCGAUUGCUCGUGGUUCUGGAGGCGCAUUAGCUCUUACAAGUGCCAAUCUCACCGGACAAGCCAGUAGCAUCAGCCCAAAAGAUUUUGAGCAUCUAUGGCAUCACUGCGAAUAUGUUUUUGAUGGUGGCUUGCUUCAGGAUGGUCGUGCUGGUUCUACGGUGGUGGAUCUUACAAAGCCAGGUGCAUAUAAGAUUUUGAGGCCAGGAAGUGCCAGGGAUAAAACUGUUGCAGUGCUUCAUAGCUUCAGUUUGGAAGAAGGAAAUUGAGAAAAUAUAUCAUCUAGGAAUCAUUUAGCCCUGCUAUUCUUCAAUGAUGACUAUUCUGAUAUAUUCCUCUUGGAAAGCUGGUUAUAAGAAUGGAUGCAAGCUAAUUAUUCGAUCUGUUGUCAUGUUUCUCAUUCAGGGUAGCAUCUGUCAAUCAACAAGUGCAGCGGCUGAAAUUGAGAAUACCGCGCAUUAUUUCUGAGUGGAAAAUCUCAUUAUGAUAAUGCACAUGAAGAUUUAUAGAGAAGCAUGCAUAUCAAUCUGAUGGCCAAAGCUCAUUCUAACUGAAC